RNAcentral lists this long non-coding RNA (832 nucleotides) under Nicotiana benthamiana. RNAcentral's name for it is "long non-coding RNA (NBEN_LNC009518)". The record is from RNAcentral. Lineage: Eukaryota; Viridiplantae; Streptophyta; Magnoliopsida; Solanales; Solanaceae.
UUAUUAUUAAAUCUAAUAACUCGAAGCAAAAGCCGUCAAAAUCACAAUUACAGUUCAUUUUGUGCUAGUAAUAACGAUGAUUUAUUGGGUACAUGCGUCGGUCAUCAUCUUAACACGUAAGUCAAGUUUUCUUCUACUUAACCAAAUUUUGAUACAGUAUAUAUUGCACCUCUUGUGCGUGCAAAACAUUAUUCCAAAUCCAUAAUACACAAUUAUUUACGUUUAUGUAUAUAAUAUCCAAAAGAUAUUAGUAAGCCAAAGUUUAAAUUCACUUUCUUUAAAUAAGAUUGAUAACCUAUCAAAUCAUGAUGGAUCAGAGGCGGAGCUAGGAUUUCAAGGUUCUGAAUUUUAGAACGUUGGAUUCAUGUGCUAGUGAUUGUGGGUUCUAAAUUUAAUACAUGUAUAUAUUUAAGUAAUUUUUUUAAUAGAAAUACAAUAUUUAAAGAAAAAGUACUAGUUUAUAGGACAAACCCAUAGCUGGACUUCUGCUUCUGCUCCUGUAUUGGACACUUUUUCUAUUCAAAGGAGCAUAUAUACCUAUCGAGUAGGCCAACUAAAUGGGAUAAAAUGUCCCCAUAUCAAGAGAUUUUUUAUGUUCCAAACUCGAAUUUAAGAUUUCUAGAUAAAGAUAAAGCCGUUAUCUUACCACUAAUGCAUGAUUGCAUGGUGCAAAAAUAUGUGUUUUAUUUUAUGAUACUAAGAUUUUGAGUUUUAUUUUUUAAAUAUUGCAAUACUAUUUCAUUGUUAUGAAAUAUUAAAUUAUGGUGGACCUCCAUAACUCCUAAAACACCCACUACUUUUAUCCAUUAUCUCCAUAACUCCCACUACUCCA